AUGGCUGGGGAAUGAUAUGCUCUAUUGAUGAAAUGGAAACCUGACUCCCAAGUUAUAUCUUCAGAGACGUAGAGAAACAGCAAUAAGAAAUGACUGCAGUGCAUUAGUACAUCCAAAAGUUAAAGAUCCUCUAAGGAAUCUGCCUUCCAUAGUUUUGAAGAGUGGGUUCUUCCUCCCAGAUCCAAACACUAACAGACUUGAUCCAGCCUAUGAUCCUCUGGGACUUUAUCAGUCUAAAUAUCUGGUUAAUGUGGCUUUGUCUGAAGGUGGUGAACUGGGUAGCUCGCCAUUGUUUUGAUAUUUGAGGAAGGAACAACAGUAACAGUGUGGGUUUGGACUCUCCUGUCAGCCACAAAGUUAAAGAAAAAGCAAAUAAUUGGGUGAAUAAGAAAACAGCAUGAUGUCAGCUCACUGGAGCACAAAAAGCAGAGGAGAAGAUCUGUAGCUGGGGAUACUCUUCAAUGGAUUUCAAAGGUUUAUGGGACUAUGAAAAGAAGAGGAAAGAACCCAUUUGUUUUCUGGCAAACAAAGAUCAAAGAGAUUAUUUUUACAAUAUAUAAGGUGAUGAGGUUUCCACCACAUCAUUUGGGAGACUACAGUCACAAUGACUGGGGAAAAAAAGGAAGAAACGCAGAGUCACAUGAGGUGAAGAUGGAGAAGAAGUCGUCUAAUUACAAUCACAGGAGAAGGACCACAUAGAUUCUCACUCCAGUACUCCCUGGAGAAAAUGUGAAAUUCCCCAGGAUCCCUGUUCUACAAAUGUGCCAUAGAAUAAAAUUCCCUCACCACCAAAACUGGCCAUCUCUUCAGCCCUAUACAUGUGAAUAAGAGUCACCAGAGUCAAGAGAACACAAGAAAACAUAACUUUGCUGGACAGAAGACCAGUACCAGGACUAUAUCCCACAUAAACCCAUUUGGAACUUAGGUGUUGACUUUCUGCACCAGACAAGUAUUCUCGAAAGAUGAUACAGGCUGUGGAAAAAAGGAACAAAAGUAAAUGUUCAGCCAAUUGAUAGUUUUAGACAAAAGAAAUAUAAGGUUUCUUUGAAAAAUACAUUCUGGUGAAUUUUGAGUUUUGGAAAAUUACUGGAUUGUUGCCAGUGCUGCAGACUGAAAUCCUUUGUUUAUUUGAAACAAAAUCUGCCUUUCUUUGUUUGGUUAGGAUGUGAAAAAGUAGAAUUAUGGAAACAUUUGACAAAGAUAUAUUAACCAUUCAAUAUUUGAAUAUUU
Mauremys reevesii (Reeves's turtle) is the source of this 1230-nucleotide long non-coding RNA. RefSeq lists it as uncharacterized. The record is from RefSeq and is a predicted model, not a curated record. The transcript is spliced from 3 exons. NCBI's taxonomy places the organism in Eukaryota, Metazoa, Chordata, Testudines, Geoemydidae.